Molecule: ribosomal RNA, 444 nt
Filed under: uncultured bacterium
Lineage: Bacteria
Description: bacterial SSU rRNA
Rfam family: Bacterial small subunit ribosomal RNA
Source: RNAcentral
CCAGACUCCUACGGGAGGCAGCAGUGGGGGAUAUUGCACAAUGGGGGAAACCCUGAUGCAGCGACGCCGCGUGGGUGAAGAAGCGCCUCGGCGCGUAAAGCCCUGUCAGCAGGGAAGAAAAUGACGGUACCUGAAGAAGAAGCCCCGGCUAACUACGUGCCAGCAGCCGCGGUAAUACGUAGGGAGCGAGCGUUGUCCGGAUUUACUGGGUGUAAAGGGUGCGCAGGCGGCUCUGCAAGUCAGGCGUGAAAGCUAGGGGCUCAACCCCUAAACUGCGCUUGAAACUGUGGAGCUUGAGUGAAGUAGAGGCAGGCGGAAUUCCCGGUGUAGCGGUGAAAUGCGUAGAGAUCGGGAGGAACACCAGUGGCGAAGGCGGAUGACUGGACGGCAACUGACGGUGAGGCGCGAAAGCGUGGGGAGCAAACAGGAUUAGAUACCCGAGUA